RNAcentral lists this ribosomal RNA (223 nucleotides) under uncultured bacterium. RNAcentral's name for it is "partial 16S ribosomal RNA". It matches the Rfam family "Bacterial small subunit ribosomal RNA", at positions 96 to 334 of the family's 1533-position model. The record is from RNAcentral.
UGGCGGACGGGUGAGUAACGCGUAGGGAUCUAUCCUUGGGUGGGGGACAACGGCUGGAAACGGCUGCUAAUACCGCAUGAUAACUGAGGUUUAAAGGCGCAAGUCGCCUGAGGAGGAGCCUGCGUACGAUUAGCUAGUUGGUGGGGUAAAGGCCUACCAAGGCUGUGAUCGUUAGCUGGUCUGAGAGGAUGAUCAGCCACAUUGGGACUGAGACACGGCCCAA